Molecule: long non-coding RNA, 126 nt
Organism: Gavialis gangeticus (Gharial)
Lineage: Eukaryota; Metazoa; Chordata; Crocodylia; Gavialidae
Exons: 3
Source: RefSeq, a predicted model, not a curated record
GAAAAGUAAAGUAAUUAAGAACAUUAUUUGCUAUUGUUUUACACAUGGACAAAUGUCAAACAGUUGUUUUUAAUAACCCCCAUACAAAGAUCAGAGAUUCAAAGCCUUGAUUUGUAAAUGGGUCUG